GUUUGAUUAGCUCAGAUUGAACGCUGGCGGGAUGCUUUACACAUGCAAGUCGAACGGCAGCACGGACUUCGGUCUGGUGGCGAGUGGCGAACAGGUGAUAAUGUAUCGGAACGUGCCUAGUAGCGGGGAUAACUACGCGAAAGCGUAGCUAAUACCAUACGCCCUUCGGGGAAAGCGGGGACCUUCGGGCCUCGCACUAUAGAAGCGGCCGAUAUCGGAUUGGCUAGUUGGUGGGGUAACGGCUCGCAAGGCGACGAUCCGUAGCUGGUUUGAGAGGACGACCAGCCACACUGGGACGAGACACGGC
This 307-nucleotide unclassified non-coding RNA is filed under the name uncultured Bordetella sp. RNAcentral describes it as "partial 16S-23S ribosomal RNA intergenic spacer". It matches the Rfam family "Bacterial small subunit ribosomal RNA", at positions 11 to 330 of the family's 1533-position model. Lineage: Bacteria; Pseudomonadati; Pseudomonadota; Betaproteobacteria; Burkholderiales; Alcaligenaceae. The record is from RNAcentral.